This 73-nucleotide transfer RNA is filed under the name Ipomoea nil (Japanese morning glory). It matches the Rfam family "tRNA". Rfam says of the family: Transfer RNA (tRNA) molecules are approximately 80 nucleotides in length. Their secondary structure includes four short double-helical elements and three loops (D, anti-codon, and T loops). Lineage: Eukaryota; Viridiplantae; Streptophyta; Magnoliopsida; Solanales; Convolvulaceae. The record is from Rfam by way of RNAcentral.
GGGGGUGUAGCUCAUAUGGUAGAGCGCUCGCUUCGCAUGCGAGAGGCACGGGGUUUAAUUCCUCACACCUCCA